This 419-nucleotide ribosomal RNA is filed under the name bacterium. Its description in RNAcentral is "partial 16S ribosomal RNA". It matches the Rfam family "Bacterial small subunit ribosomal RNA", at positions 355 to 776 of the family's 1533-position model. The record is from RNAcentral.
UGGGGGAUAUUGCACAAUGGGCGAAAGCCUGAUGCAGCGACGCCGCGUGGGGGAUGAAGGCCUUCGGGUUGUAAACUUCUUUUGCUCUGAACAAGGCGCACCAUGGGGUGUGUUGAGUGUAGGGGUUGAUUAGCGCCGGCUAACUACGUGCCAGCAGCCGCGGUAAUACGUAGGGCGCGAGCGUUGUACGGAAUUAUUGGGCGUAAAGGGCUUGUAGGUGGCUGGUUGCGUCUGUCGUGAAAGCUCAUGGCUUAACUGUGGGUUUGCGGUGGGUACGGGCUGGCUUGAGUGCAGUAGGGGAGGCUGGAAUUCCUGGUGGAGCGGUGGAAUGCGCAGAUAUCAGGAGGAAUACCGGUGGCGAAGGCGGGUCUCUGGGCUGUUACUGACACUGAGGAGCGAAAGCAGGGGGAGCGAACAGG